GACGAACGCUGGCGGCGUGCUUAACACAUGCAAGUCGAACGGAAAGGCCCUGCUUUUGUGGGGUGCUCGAGUGGCGAACGGGUGAGUAACACGUGAGUAACCUGCCCUUGACUUUGGGAUAACUUCAGGAAACUGGGGCUAAUACCGGAUAGGAGCUCCUGCUGCAUGGUGGGGGUUGGAAAGUUUCGGCGGUUGGGGAUGGACUCGCGGCUUAUCAGCUUGUUGGUGGGGUAGUGGCUUACCAAGGCUUUGACGGGUAGCCGGCCUGAGAGGGUGACCGGCCACAUUGGGACUGAGAUACGGCCCAGACUCCUACGGGAGGCAGCAGUGGGGAAUAUUGCACAAUGGGCGGAAGCCGGAUGCAGCAACGCCGCGUGCGGGAUGACGGCCUUCGGGUUGUAAACCGCUUUCGCCUGUGACGAAGCGUGAGUGACGGUAAUGGGUAAAGAAGCACCGGCUAACUA
RNAcentral lists this ribosomal RNA (464 nucleotides) under uncultured bacterium. RNAcentral describes it as "partial 16S ribosomal RNA". It matches the Rfam family "Bacterial small subunit ribosomal RNA", at positions 28 to 503 of the family's 1533-position model. The record is from RNAcentral.